Long non-coding RNA from Chionomys nivalis (European snow vole), 1815 nucleotides. RefSeq lists it as uncharacterized. The record is from RefSeq and is a predicted model, not a curated record. Lineage: Eukaryota; Metazoa; Chordata; Mammalia; Rodentia; Cricetidae. The transcript has 3 exons.
GGUCACGUGGUCAGGAGAGCACCUCGCAGCUCCGCCCACUGGCGUUGACCCGCCCACUGGCGUUGACCCGCCACCCAAGCCCACAGGCGCCGAAGCAGCCGAAGGGGAGUGCGCGUGCGCGUGAGGCGGACUGCGGGAACCCGGGCUUGCUAGUGGCUCUGGUGGCCCCGCCAGCAGCUCUGGCUGCGGCCAGCACGCACCCGGCACGAGAGGCUGGCUCUGGCCGCAGCUCUUGCUGGGCGCCAUGGCGCCCUUCUGGGAUGGAAGAAAACUGUCAGGUACUAACUCGACAAUGACUGCCCUCGGUAAUCAACCACUCGUGUUUCCUGGUAAAUUGGAUGGAAAGAGGAUGUCCAGGAAAUGAGAGGCUGUGGAUUCAUUCUAAGCUAAGAAAAAACAUAUUUGAUCACGGAAGACCCUCUGAAGAAUCUCUCAUAGAAGCGAGUGGCCCAGAUGUCUGAGUUCUACAUCCAGAACAGAUUCAAGACUGCUGCCUGAGAUGAUCAAGACUCACAGGACUUGAUCAUAAUACUAAAUUUUCUUUAGGUCCCCAUAAGAUUAUCAGUGCCCCUAAUCAGCGGGAAGUAGCCUGGAAAACUAUGCCCACAUUCCCCAAAAUGGAUUCUGGAUGUCUGCCUUUGUUUAAAAUGUUGGUUACAAGUUAUUAUGGAUAAUGGUCAGGAGAAAAGCUAAACAAAGAAGAUUCCAUUCAGAGUUCUUGUUUUGUUUUUAUUUUUUUAAGGGGGAGGAGAAGUGCUCUGGGGCAAUGGUCUGUACCCUGCCACUUGUAUUUUAAAUAAACCCUGAUUGGUCAGUAGCCAGGCAGGACGUAUAGGCAGGGUGACCAGGCAGGAAGUAGAGGCGGGGCAAUGAGAACAAGAGAAUUCUGGGAGAAGGAAAGAGUCAGUCUAUAGUCAUCACACAGACACAGAGCAAGCAAGAUGUGACUGCCUCUCUGAAAAAGGUACCAAGCCCCACGUGGCUAAAACAGACAAGAAUUAUGGGCUAAUAUAAGUUAUAAGAGUUAAUAAGAAGCCUGAGCUAAUGGGCUAAUCAGCUUAUAUAUAAUUAAUGUAGACCUCUGUGUGUUUCUUUGGGACUGAAUGGCUGCAGGAUCAGGUGGAACAGAAACCUUGGUCAACAGCUUUGCUUUCCCUUAUAUUUAUAGUAAGCCUCCUCCAUCAUACCUGGGAGCAUUCAUGUCCUUCCUUUUAUUUCUUGUUUUCUUUCAGUACUCAGCUGUUCCCUUAGAAGGAUCUGAUGAAUCCACACUGCUGCUGCAGGGCUCUCAAGGAAGAGUCACCACUUCACCGAGGAAGGCUUCAUUUCCCAUUUCUGUGAAUUGGUUUUCUUCCAAGCCAACAGCUGCUCUGUUCUUCUAGAGGUCCUGAGUUCAACUUCCAGAGACCAUAUGGUAGCUUAUAACCAUCUGUAAUGGGUUUGGAUGCUCUCUUCUGGCGUGCAGACAUACUUGCAAACAAAGCACUCAUAUCCAUAAGCAAAUAAAGCUUUUUUAAAAAGCCAAACAUGAUGGCAUAUGCCUUGAGAGGCAGAGUCAGGUGGGUCUCUAUGAGCUCCAAGCCAGACUGGUUUACAUAAUGAGUUCCAGGACAGCCUGUCUCUAAAGCAAAGAGAAACAAAUCCAAACCUUACACAGGAAGUUUCGAGAAAUGGCUAGCAGUUAAGAGUGCUUGCUGCUCUUGCAGAGGAUCUAAGUUCACUUCCCAGCACCCACAUCCAGUGGCUCACAACCACCUGUAACUCCAACUCCAGGACUCUCUUCUGUCUUCCAUGGGCAACUGUGCAUGCAUAAAU